GACCGUGCAAAGGUAGCAUAAUCAUUUGCCUUAUAAUUGAAGGCUUGUAUGAAUGGUUUGACAAGAAUAAAGCUGUCUCUUUACAAAUAAAUAUAAUUUUAUUUACAGGUGAAGAAGCCUGUAUUAUAUUGAAAGACAAGAAGACCCUAUCGAGCUUUAAAUGAGUUAGUAUAAAGUAAAUCAUAUUUAUAUUGAGCUAGUUACUAAAAAUUUUAGUUGGGGCGACUAAGGAACAACUAAAGCUUCCUAAAAGUUUUAAGCGCUUUCGAGCUAUGAUCCAAAAAUUUUGAUUAAAGGAAUUAGUUACCGUAGGGAUAACAGCAUUAUCUUUUUUAAGAGUUCAAAUCGAAAAAAAGGUUUGUGACCUCGAUGUUGGACCAGAAUAUCCUGAAGAUGCAGCCGUCUUCAAGGGUUGGUCUGUUCGACCAUUAAAAUUCUACGUGAUCUGAGUUCAGACCGGCGUGAGCCAGGUCAGUUUCUAUCUUCUAUUUUUGACGUGGACCUAGUACGAAAGGAUUGGUCUAUAGUAAUAGUUAUUAUCCUUGAUGUAGUAUAAAGAUUCAUUAAAUUAUCAAGUAUAAAGAUCAAAUUAGCAAAGAUAAUGCAAUUGAUUUAGGAUCAAUAGACAUAGGUGAAACUCCUUUAUUUGAUAUAAAUAUAAAGGUG
This 666-nucleotide ribosomal RNA is filed under the name Azumamorula mutica. RNAcentral's name for it is "Morula mutica partial 16S ribosomal RNA". The stretch from base 1 to 524 matches the Rfam family "Bacterial large subunit ribosomal RNA", at positions 1944 to 2925 of the family's 2925-position model. The record is from RNAcentral. Lineage: Eukaryota; Metazoa; Mollusca; Gastropoda; Neogastropoda; Muricidae.